This 279-nucleotide ribosomal RNA is filed under the name uncultured bacterium. RNAcentral's name for it is "partial 16S ribosomal RNA". It matches the Rfam family "Bacterial small subunit ribosomal RNA", at positions 506 to 784 of the family's 1533-position model. The record is from RNAcentral.
UGCCAGCCGCCGCGGUAAUACUGAAGGUGCAAGCGUUAAUCGGAAUUAUUGGGCGUAAAGCGUACGUAGGCGGUCAUCUAAGUCUGGGGUUAAAGACCAAGGCUCAACCUUGGGAGUGCCCUGGAUACUGGGUGACUGGAGGACGGCAGAGGAAAGUGGAAUUCCCAGUGUAGCGGUGAAAUGCGUAGAUAUUGGGAGGAACACCAGUGGCGAAAGCGACUUUCUGGGCCGUUCCUGACGCUGAGGUACGAAAGCCAGGGGAGCAAACGGGAUUAGAUA